UGCAGUCGAACGGCAGCACGGGGGCAACCCUGGUGGCGAGUGGCGAACGGGUGAGUAAUACAUCGGAACGUGUCCUGGAGUGGGGGAUAGCCCGGCGAAAGCCGGAUUAAUACCGCAUACGCUCUGAGGAGGAAAGGGGGGGAUCUUCGGACCUCUCGCUCAAGGGGCGGCCGAUGGCAGAUUAGCUAGUUGGUGGGGUAAAGGCCUACCAAGGCGACGAUCUGUAGCUGGUCUGAGAGGACGACCAGCCACACUGGGACUGAGACACGGCCCAGACUCCUACGGGAGGCAGCAGUGGGGAAUUUUGGACAAUGGGGGCAACCCUGAUCCAGCAAUGCCGCGUGUGUGAAGAAGGCCUUCGGGUUGUAAAGCACUUUUGUCCGGAAAGAAAACCUGUGCCCUAAUACGGCGUGGGGAUGACGGUACCGGAAGAAUAAGCACCGGCUAACU
RNAcentral lists this ribosomal RNA (450 nucleotides) under Burkholderia sp. BSF3(2). RNAcentral describes it as "bacterial SSU rRNA". It matches the Rfam family "Bacterial small subunit ribosomal RNA", at positions 56 to 502 of the family's 1533-position model. Lineage: Bacteria; Pseudomonadati; Pseudomonadota; Betaproteobacteria; Burkholderiales; Burkholderiaceae. The record is from RNAcentral.